RNAcentral lists this ribosomal RNA (486 nucleotides) under uncultured bacterium. RNAcentral describes it as "partial 16S ribosomal RNA". It matches the Rfam family "Bacterial small subunit ribosomal RNA", at positions 30 to 507 of the family's 1533-position model. The record is from RNAcentral.
AUUGAACGCUGGCGGCAUGCCUUACACAUGCAAGUCGAACGGCAGCACGGGUGCUUGCACCUGGUGGCGGGUGGCGAACGGGUGAGUAAUACAUCGGAACAUGUCCUGUAGUGGGGGAUAGCCCGGCGAAAGCCGGAUUAAUACCGCAUACGUUCUACGGAUGAAAGCGGGGGCCCUUCGGGCCUCGCGCUAUCGGGUUGGCCGAUGGCUGAUUAGCUAGUUGGUGGGGUAAAGGCCUACCAAGGCGACGAUCAGUAGCUGGUCUGAGAGGACGACCAGCCACACUGGGACUGAGACACGGCCCAGACUCCUACGGGAGGCAGCAGUGGGGAAUUUUGGACAAUGGGCGAAAGCCUGAUCCAGCAAUGCCGCGUGUGUGAAGAAGGCCUUCGGGUUGUAAAGCACUUUUGUCCGGAAAGAAAUCCUUGGCCCUAAUACGGUCGGGGGAUGACGGUACCGGAAGAAUAAGCACCGGCUAACUACGUG